RNAcentral lists this long non-coding RNA (936 nucleotides) under Monodelphis domestica (gray short-tailed opossum). RNAcentral's name for it is "lncRNA (ENSMODG00000030898.2)". The record is from RNAcentral. Lineage: Eukaryota; Metazoa; Chordata; Mammalia; Didelphimorphia; Didelphidae.
CCCAGUGCAGCAGUGAUGUCAUCAUCAGUCUGGCCCUGGGAACCUGCAUUGUUAGCUCCGCAAAUAGAGAAAUCCCUACUCAAGCAUCGCAAAUGAGGGCAGGGGGAGAGCCUGUGGAGAGCCCCGGAUGGGGACUGUUGGCUCCCUCCCUCUCUUUGAGUUGUCAGCAGAUGAAUUCAGCAGGGAACAAAAGGAGCUGCAGCUGGUGGGAGAGAGGGAAAAGGGAGAGAAGCCCGAAUUCUGAUGGGAGAUGGGAAGCGGCGGGGGUGCUGAAGAGCCCCUCAGAGGAGGGGAAUGUGCCACCAGAAAGAGAGGGGAAAGACCCUAACGGUGUCCCCAGAAUGGGAGGUUCCAAGAUCUGAGACAGGGGAGGGAGCACUGCCGACCAACCAAGGAGCAAUUAAACCAUCCCAGCUGUCACUCGGUCUGUCUGUCUUGCCAGCCAGCCAGUCAUCACAGAGAAAGAGAUUGCAUGUUCCUCCCUCCUAUUCCUCCCAACUCCCCAAGAAGUCCUUUAGUUGCAAUGGCAGCAUCGAGUCUCACUGGCAUGGUGGCAAACAAUGGCAUCAUCUCAAACAGAAAUGGCAGGGGGAUAUGCAUGAAUCAGGCAGCUUGACAUCAAGUUCCUAAGCAAAAGUAGGAAUUGGAUGGUGCCAAAGGAGGAGUUGGCAUCUCAAAGAGGCCACUGAAAAGAUCAAAUGUCUAACUGAUCAAACAAUGCCAAAUGAAUGUAGCAUGGCUAAUUAGUAGCCUUGUAAUAAGCCAUUUAUGCCCCAAUGAAGCUUGAAUAUUAGUUUCAAGGCUGGCUGUACUGGUAGUAAUAAGUUAGGCUCCUGAAUUCUGUUCUAACCCUUCUAUAAGGCAUGUUAUGAUUCCCUUACAUUUAACAUUCCUCUCUCUUUGUAAGAAUAAACUACCUAUACCAUACUUGAUUCA